GCGGGCGUGGCGGAAUUGGUAGACGCGCGGGAUUUAGGUUCCCGUGUCGCAAGACGUGGGGGUUCGAGCCCCUCCGCCCGCACCA
RNAcentral lists this transfer RNA (85 nucleotides) under Pseudolabrys taiwanensis. Its description in RNAcentral is "tRNA-Leu". It matches the Rfam family "tRNA". Rfam says of the family: Transfer RNA (tRNA) molecules are approximately 80 nucleotides in length. Their secondary structure includes four short double-helical elements and three loops (D, anti-codon, and T loops). The record is from RNAcentral. RNAcentral also lists the same sequence under 4 other names. Lineage: Bacteria; Pseudomonadati; Pseudomonadota; Alphaproteobacteria; Hyphomicrobiales; Xanthobacteraceae.